AGUAGGUUGAAGUUGUUCUGCCAGGGUGAGUCUGGAUUCUGGAAUGUUCGUCCACUACACCAGGGUCAGUGCCUGCCCACUUGUGCCCUUCCUCCUGGGAAAUCACUCCCCAUAGCUUAUUAACCCGGGCCCUCUGCUGCAGAGCACACCCAGGGGGAUCUCAAGGUACAAACAGACCUGGGACCUUCCUGUGUUUUCUUAUCCAGAAGAGACACUGCCUUUCCGGGGGCCAUAGGGGAAAGGAGUGGACGCUAAUGCACUAACAGCUACACGACAAAGGCCUGACGCCAGAGCAACCCUCAAGUUACUGAGUGUCCUUGGCGCUUCACCUGCGUGACCUCCUCCCAACAGAGCCGGAGGCUGCUACCUGCAUUUCACAGCUUCCUGUGUCCAGUGGCAGAGACACCUGAGCCCCAGUGCAGGGCCUCACCUUGAUACAAUCAACUCGUGACCUGGUCAUCACAAGCAUGGUGCCACAGGCAUGGCCGAAGACACCCCCAGGGAGAUAACAAGAAAUGCAUGGGAAGUUCCUGCCCAGCCCCGAGGACCAGCUCAGGCCCCAAGUCCAGCACUUUCCCCGUCCCCACUGAGUCACAGCCACAAACACCAGGAAAGGGAGGCACAGAGAGGUUAAGAAACUUGCCCUGUGUCACACAGCCAGUCACAAAGGCGGUGCCCAGCUCCCGGGGGUUCAGGGUGCCUGUGUCUGUCAAGGCCCCUGGUGAGCAUCUGAAGGGUGCUGGGCUGUGUGGCUGUCCUGAGGAACUGUGAUAGCAACAGCUGUGGUCCUGCAGCAGGUGGUGGGCCCGGGAUCCAGCCUCCCCUCUUCCCUUCCCUGGCAGGGUAAGUUCCAGAGCAUUUUGCUGGGUCUGCGCUUGCAAAGCCCUCCCUGCCGAGGCUAAGGCCCUCAGCCCCAUGCUCAGUGUCACCUGUCCAGACAGGUGAGGCCGGAGAGGGUUUUCAUGGGGAGGGUGCACCCAAAACUCGAAACUCACCUGGCCAGAAGCAGCAGGGCGGGUGCUGCCUCGAAUGGGGUUUCAGGCAAAGGGCCAGCCUGGUGUUCCCAUGUAUGAGAAAUGGGCCAAUAGCCUGAUGGGUGGAGCUGGAUGCUGUCAGGGUGGCAGGAUGAGGUGGGGGUGCUGUCUCCCCAGGAUCCCGACGACUGGGCGGGCAGGGUGCCUGGUGGAAAGGUGAGGUGCCAAGAGGCUGUGGCCAGGGGUUCUGAUCCCAGCUUGCCACUGAGUGAUUCCAUCCUCUGUGCCUCAGUUUCCCCAUCUGUAAGAUGAGGCAUUGAUGUUGGUGCCCAGGGCAGUGUCCGCAUGUGGCCAGCAGCCAUAGUUGAUGGAAACAGUGCAAUGCUGGUGACCCUGGAGGACGCAGGAGCCCUGGGCGGGCCCAGAGUCAGUCUUCCCCUGCACCCUGUGUCUUUCAUGCUGCCCCUGCCCUCCCGCUACACCAGUGCCAGGGGUCUCAGAGGGGUUCCAGUGGCUCUCUGCAUCUCCGAAGCCUCAGUCCCCCUCAUGGGGCCAGGGUUCCCACCUGCCACUGGGGAUGAGACCGCCUUCUCUCAGGGCUGGACUUGGGAGUGGGUUUUGAAGGAGGCAGGGACUGGACGCAGAGGCUGUUGGGGCAGUGGGGAGGCGUGGGGGCCUGACCCAGAGGAGGGCAGAGGAGAGGCUGCCCUGGGGAUGAGGGGGCUCUGUGGCCCCUGGCAAGGGGUGGGGCCUCUGUGAGCCUCAGUUUCUCAGCAUGCCAUCCGCCUGGCGACCUUGCCUCCCUCUCCCGCUGGGGCUAUAGAAUGGUCUGGAGCCCUCUGUGGCAGCAGCAGCCCCAGGCGAGUUCUGUUCACUCGGAAGGAGCCCGUCCUCAUCCUCACCCUCGUUUACAGAGGAAGGCCGGCGCUCAAGGUGGCAGGACUGGCUGAGGACCACGGCAGGUCACGCCUGGGGCUAGGAUGCCCUUCCAAAGCCCUGCCUUGGUUUCCUGGUGCUGUGGGAACAAUGACCAGAAACCGGCCCUGCCCCACGCAUCUCUGUGAUUAACUCACUCCCUGUACAGUAGAGGGAGGCGUGGCCCAGGGAGGCUCCCGGGCUGGCCCGAGGCCCAUGGCAAGCAGCCCCACCCAAGCAGGCGGCUCCAGGCUUGGCUGGGAUCCCGCAGUGACGCUUGGGUGUCUUUGGGCCUUAAAAGUUCACUCUCCAAAGGCAUCAAACUUGUUCCACCCUACAGGGACUUUUUGUUUGUUUUUCUUUUAAUAGACUGAAUUCUUUGGAAUCCUCUUAGAUUUACAAAACAGUCAGGAAGACAGUUCAGAGAGUUCUCGUAAAACCCCACCCAGCGGCCUCUAUGAUUAGCAUCUUACCUUGGUAUGGUACAUUUGUCAUAACUAAUGAGCCAAUACCACCAAUGCCUGAUUACCAACUGCAGCCC
Long non-coding RNA from Pan troglodytes (chimpanzee), 2430 nucleotides. RefSeq lists it as uncharacterized. The record is from RefSeq and is a predicted model, not a curated record. NCBI's taxonomy places the organism in Eukaryota, Metazoa, Chordata, Mammalia, Primates, Hominidae. The transcript has 6 exons.